This 135-nucleotide microRNA precursor is filed under the name Xyrichtys novacula (pearly razorfish). The record is from RNAcentral. Lineage: Eukaryota; Metazoa; Chordata; Actinopteri; Labriformes; Labridae.
GACCAUGACACUGACAUUAUACCGUCAUUUUUCUGACCAUUAUACUAAUAUGAUACUAACCAUAAUAGUAUUAUGGUUAGUAUCAUAUUAGUAUAAUGGUCAGAAAAAUGACGGUAUAAUGUCAGUGUCAUGGUC